This 505-nucleotide ribosomal RNA is filed under the name uncultured Steroidobacter sp. Its description in RNAcentral is "partial 16S ribosomal RNA". The record is from RNAcentral. Lineage: Bacteria; Pseudomonadati; Pseudomonadota; Gammaproteobacteria; Steroidobacterales; Steroidobacteraceae.
CACAGAGUUAGCCGGUGCUUCUUUAGUUGGUUACGUCAAGGCCGCGACGUAUUAGGUCGCAGCUUUUCUUCCCAACCGAAAGGGCUUUACAACCCGCAGGCCUUCUUCACCCACGCGGCGUCGCUGGAUCAGGCUUUCGCCCAUUGUCCAAUAUUCCCCACUGCUGCCUCCCGUAGGAGUCCGGACCGUGUCUCAGUUCCGGUGUGACUGGUCGUCCUCUCAGACCAGUUACGGAUCGUCGCCUUGGUAGGCCAUUACCCUACCAACUAGCUAAUCCGACUUGGGCUCAUCUAUCAGCGCCAGGCCUUGCGGUCCCCGGCUUUCAUCCGUAGAUCGUAUGCGGUAUUAGCCCGAGUUUCCCCGGGUUGUCCCCCACUGAUAGGCAGAUUCCCAAGCGUUACUCACCCGUCCGCCGCUCGUCAGCAUGUAUUGCUACACCUGUUACCGCUCGACUUGCAUGUGUUAGGCACGCCGCCAGCGUUCAAUCUGAGCCAGGAUCAAACUC